Molecule: ribosomal RNA, 421 nt
Filed under: uncultured bacterium
Lineage: Bacteria
Description: partial 16S ribosomal RNA
Rfam family: Bacterial small subunit ribosomal RNA
Source: RNAcentral
GAAUUUUGGCCAAUGGGCGAAAGCCUGAUCCAGCAAUGCCGCGUGCAGGAUGAAGGCCUUCGGGUUGUAAACUGCUUUUGUACGGAACGAAAAGCUUUUGGUUAAUACCCUGGAGUCAUGACGGUACCGUAAGAAUAAGCACCGGCUAACUCUGUUCCAGCAGCCGCGGUAAUACGUAUGGUGCAAGCGUGAAUCGGAAUUACGGGGCGUAAAGCGGGCGCAGGCGGUUUUGUAAGAGAGAGGGGAAAGCCCCGGGCUCAACCAGGGAACUGCCUUGGUGACGGCAAGGCUAGAGUACGGCAGAGGGGGGUGGAAUUCAGCGUGUAGCAGUGAAAGGCGUAGAUAUGCGGAGGAACACCGAUGGCGAAGGCAACCCCCUGGGCCUGUACUGACGCUCAUGCACGAAAGCGUGGGGAGCAAA